Molecule: long non-coding RNA, 1359 nt
Filed under: Olea europaea subsp. europaea
Lineage: Eukaryota; Viridiplantae; Streptophyta; Magnoliopsida; Lamiales; Oleaceae
Source: RNAcentral
GUAAACACACGAUCAGGUCUUCCACCCGUAAGCUCAUCCGCUCCAAACCAACCCCCUCCUGAGGAUAUCCCUGUUCCUCAAGAGGAAUCAUCAGAAGUGCCAGUGCCCCAGCCGGCAGUCGUCACUACUGGAGCCUUUGAAGAGCUCAGGCAACAGGUCGCCACACUGACUCAGCUGCUAAGUCAAAGAAAUUCGCAUCCAUCACCCACACCGGCACCCCAGGGGGGUUUUAUGGCUGAUGCUCGAGCUCGAGCUCAUGUCCCUGACAAUGGCGGAGCAGGGGCCUCGGGUAUACCACAUGUGACCUCGGCCUCGAGAUCAGUGACCAUGGAGUCCGGGGAACUCGCUAGGAUUAUUCAAGAAGGAAUUACGGCGGGCCUACUCCAGGGCAACAAAGGGACAACAAGAUUCAGUCCCAAUACUCCAUUUACUCCCGAGAUAUUAACAUUCCCCUUGCCGGACAGAUUUAAGUAUCCUAGGAUCAAAGAGUACGAUGGGACCACCGAUCCAAUCAAUCAUCUGAACAUAUACACGGACGUCAUGAAUUUACAGGUCGCACCAGAUCAGGUGAUGUGCAAGGCAUUCCCGCAAACCUUGACGAAUGCCGCUAGGGAUUGGUUCUCAACCUUAGAGUCCAACUCCAUAGCCUCAUUCUCGGAUUUGGCGGACAAGUUCUCCGCUUUCUUUGCAAGCAGCAAACGCAUCAGGAAGACAGCGGCUUCCCUCAUGCAACUUAGACAGGGGCAAAAUGAGACCUUACGUGACUUCAUGACCAGGUUCAACAAGGAAAGACUUCAGAUUCCCGACCUACACAUAACUGCAGCGGUUUCUGCCCUCACAUAUGCCAUAAAGUGUGAGGCCUUCAAGAUGUCUUUAUCCAAAACACCGCCAAAAACAGUGACCGAGCUUCUUACCCGAGCCGAGAAGUACAUAAAUAUGGAGGAAACACUGAACCCGAGAAAGGUUGGACCAUCCCAUGACAGGGUCGAGCAUAAAAGACAGCAUGACCCGAACCCUCGUGAAGAACAGCAUCGGAAAAAACAGAGACAGGAGGUUCCCCCGACGCCGUUCACGCGUUUAAAUACGUCAAAAACCAAUAUAUUAAUGGAGAUCAAGGAUAUGAGGGAACUGAAAUGGCCUGUCAGAAUGAGGUCACCACCCGAAUCCAGGGACAUGAACAAGUACUGUGAGUUCCAUCGGGAUCACGGGCAUACCACGGAGAACUGUAAGGCCCUGCAACGGGAGAUUGAAGCCCUUAUUAAAAGAGGACUCCUGAGCUCCUACGUCGGUAACGACAAACGCCCGAGGAAUGAUCGUGGCAGGGAAAAAGACCCUGAGGCAAAAAGGGAUGGUCAACCN